Molecule: ribosomal RNA, 360 nt
Filed under: Ensifer meliloti
Lineage: Bacteria; Pseudomonadati; Pseudomonadota; Alphaproteobacteria; Hyphomicrobiales; Rhizobiaceae
Description: Sinorhizobium meliloti bacterial SSU rRNA
Rfam family: Bacterial small subunit ribosomal RNA
Source: RNAcentral
UGGGCAGUGGAGACAUUGUCCUUCAGUUAGGCUGGCCCCAGAACAGGUGCUGCAUGGCUGUCGUCAGCUCGUGUCGUGAGAUGUUGGGUUAAGUCCCGCAACGAGCGCAACCCUCGCCCUUAGUUGCCAGCAUUUAGUUGGGCACUCUAAGGGGACUGCCGGUGAUAAGCCGAGAGGAAGGUGGGGAUGACGUCAAGUCCUCAUGGCCCUUACGGGCUGGGCUACACACGUGCUACAAUGGUGGUGACAGUGGGCAGCGAGACAGCGAUGUCGAGCUAAUCUCCAAAAGCCAUCUCAGUUCGGAUUGCACUCUGCAACUCGAGUGCAUGAAGUUGGAAUCGCUAGUAAUCGCAGAUCAGC